CCCUAUGGGGUGCAGCAGGCGGCAGGCGAGGGCGCCUUGAGUAUGGCGUCCGGGGCCGUUUCCUGGAUACCGGCAGGCCUGUUUGUGGCCGCGUCCGUAUCUCCCCCGGGGAGGCUUUUUCAGCAAUCGCCCGGGGAGGUCGUUGACACCGCGCGGACUAUUCAAGAGGCAUUGACCUACCAGUCCAGGACCAAAGGCGGACAGCAGGUCGCAGAGGUGGCGGCGUAUCCGUUCACCAAAACCGCAGAAAUGGGAACCGAGUCGCGCGAUCGAUGGUGGCAAAUGGCCGAAAAGGCCAGGCAGGGAGGCGACAACAUCACGGCCGCCGGUUAUGACGCGCUUGGCUUUAUCGCAGGAAUUGGCGGGGGAGC
RNAcentral lists this ribosomal RNA (371 nucleotides) under uncultured prokaryote. RNAcentral describes it as "partial 16S ribosomal RNA". The record is from RNAcentral.